UCCCCCCGUCUAUGCAUUAGAUAUCAACACACGUUACAGUGCGUGUGAGCACCGACCACACCGUUGGUGGGCUGGGUGUGGAGGCUGGAACCUUACCCCAGAGGGAGGGGACACAGGCUAGCAGAUAAAUGACAGCAGACAGAUGUGACAGAUGGGUGUAAACAUGACUCUGGAAAGAGGACCAAAUGCUUGCUGGAAGAGCGAGUCUUUCAUAGGCUUGAAAGAAGACUCCCACUCCAUGGCUUCCUCCUUGCCUCCUGCCCAUGUGAGAUCUGAGGCUUGAAGGGGACACCGGGGACAAGUGGCAAGUCCCAUUCAUAGGCAGCCACCCCGACCGACGGGCAGACAGGCUAACCUGUGCCCAGCCGACCCAUCACCAGCAAGACGCACCGAGGACCGGAAGGACAGCUCCCUGUAGCCUCCUGGCCGCUCUGGGAGGCCGAUGGCAGAGCCUGCGACAGCCACCCGCAGGUGCCUUUCAACCCUAGCUGGACAGCCAGAGAAACUGAGUCAAGCUUAGCUGAUGGCACUGCCCAGGAGACUGCUAAGAAGAGCUCCUCCCCCUUCCUCAUUCUCUACCUCGGCAGUAAAGAAAACACCAGCGGCCGGGUUUCCUCGCUGUAGUCUGCCUUCCAUGUGGGAGUGGGGAAAUUAAAAGUA
Molecule: long non-coding RNA, 660 nt
Organism: Cavia porcellus (domestic guinea pig)
Lineage: Eukaryota; Metazoa; Chordata; Mammalia; Rodentia; Caviidae
Exons: 3
Source: RefSeq, a predicted model, not a curated record